CCGGCGACCGGCGCACGGGUGAGUAACGCGUAUGCAACCUGCCCGUUUCAGCGGGAUAACCCGGAGAAAUCCGGCCUAAUACCGCAUGUGGCCGAGGGGAGGCAUCUUCUUUCGGCCAAAGGAGGCGACUCCGGAGACGGAUGGGCAUGCGUGACAUUAGCUAGUUGGCGGGGUAACGGCCCGCCAAGGCGACGAUGUCUAGGGGUUCUGAGAGGAAGGUCCCCCACACUGGUACUGAGACACGGACCAGACUCCUACGGGAGGCAGCAG
Molecule: ribosomal RNA, 270 nt
Filed under: uncultured bacterium
Lineage: Bacteria
Description: partial 16S ribosomal RNA
Rfam family: Bacterial small subunit ribosomal RNA
Source: RNAcentral